Molecule: ribosomal RNA, 440 nt
Filed under: Mycalesis mineus (dark-brand bushbrown)
Lineage: Eukaryota; Metazoa; Arthropoda; Insecta; Lepidoptera; Nymphalidae
Description: partial 28S ribosomal RNA
Source: RNAcentral
AAACCUGCGAAACUCGAAUGAACGAACGGAGAGAUUCAUCGACAUCCGACGGAGCGCGGGCGCGCGCCUCGAUGCAACGCCCGACCCCCUCGCGGGUGCCGCGGCGCGGCACGGGUCGCGUCCGUGAAUCGGCACCGUCGGCGUCGUGCACUUCUCUCUCAGUAAUGCAUCGCGACCCGUUCGACGUCGGCUUAAGCGCCGUCCGACUCGCCCAGCGGCGGUGGGCAACCGCACGCCGCUGGACCGCGACGGUCGCCGGCCGGCCGUCGGACGGUACACGUAGUGAAUCGCGCACGCGCCCUAGCGCGCGUCCGGCCCGACGCAAGCUCGCGCCGUCUCAUAAUGGUCGCGGUCCUGCCGUAGCGCGGACCGCGACGCGGCGCCGCUGUCGUCGCAGCCGUGUAGUCUCGGACCGUGCGCGUCUCUGUCUGCGAUGGGUC